CCUACGGGCGGCAGCAGUGAGGAAUAUUGGUCAAUGGGCGGAAGCCUGAACCAGCCAAGUCGCGUGAGGGAUUAAGGCCCUGCGGGUCGUAAACCUCUUUUGCCGGGGAGCAGAGGUCCGGACGUGUCCGGGCCGGGAGAGUACCCGGAGAAAAAGCAUCGGCUAACUCCGUGCCAGCAGCCGCGGGAAUACGGAGGAUGCGAGUGUUAUCCGUAUUUAUUGGGUUUAAAGGGUGCGUAGGCGGGCAUUUAAGCCGGCGGUCAAAUGUCGGGGCUCAACCCCGGCCUGCCGUCGGAACUGGGUGCCUUGAGUGGGCGAGAAGUAUGAGGAAUGCGUGGUGUAGCGGUGAAAUGCAUAGAUAUCACGCAGAACCCCGAUUGCGAAGGCAGCAUACCGGCGCCCUACUGACGCUGAGGCACGAAAGUGCGGGUAUCGAACAGGAUUAGAUACCCCAGUAGUC
This 460-nucleotide ribosomal RNA is filed under the name uncultured bacterium. Its description in RNAcentral is "partial 16S ribosomal RNA". It matches the Rfam family "Bacterial small subunit ribosomal RNA", at positions 338 to 795 of the family's 1533-position model. The record is from RNAcentral.